GGGUCUCUAAGGGAAGCCCAGGUCUGUAGAUUUCAAUUCCAUGGCGAUUAGCUGAUGUACUAUUGAAUUGAAUUGAAAUCUGCAAAUCUGGGUUUCCCUUUAAGAUUC
This 108-nucleotide microRNA precursor is filed under the name Picea abies (Norway spruce). RNAcentral's name for it is "miR11411d stem-loop (pab-MIR11411d)". Lineage: Eukaryota; Viridiplantae; Streptophyta; Pinopsida; Pinales; Pinaceae. The record is from miRBase by way of RNAcentral.